UGAUUGGUGGCAACGGCAGCAGCACCGAAAGUAGCCAUUAAUUUGCUAAUUUUUGAUCGUUUCGUGAUAUUUAGUUAGUGAGUGACAGAGCGAAAGAUUAUUUGUUGAUUCGGUGAUGAUUUUGAAAGAAGAGGGAAACCAAAAGUAAAAGAGAAAAGCUAUUUAUAGAGAGGACUGAGGAGAAAUGUAGUGGGUGUAGGUUAAGACUCUGCGCAUACCCCGCGUAACGUUGUAUCAACGUCUGUUAACUGAACUGCGCAAAAACUACGACCAGCCAGCCAAGGCUUGCGUUUUGUUGCGCAAGGGAUGGCAGAAAAGUGAGCGCGCGGCCCAGCCCGGCUUCGGCUUCACUUUUGGGGUUCGGGUCAGAUUUAAGCUUUUGAUAGUAGAGACCAAAUAUCUGAUUUAAUAUUGAAAAAAUCUACAACAAAAUAAUCAAAUAAUAAUAAAAAAUUUAAUUAGGAACUUAUGGGAUUAUACCAAAUAGACACUUACCAAUUGCAUUGUGAUAAUUGAUACUGUAUUUGUUUCUAUUCAAUUUUAUUUUAAUUUCAUGUAAUUUUAUUAUAUUAAGUGUCACUAUUACUAAUUAUUAAUUAGUGUUAUUUACUAUUAAUAACUUUUCCCCCUUUUUCAUCUUUUAGUCUUUCUUUCCGUGUGAAGGUUGCUUUUUCUUCCUUCUUUAUAAAGGUUAGUCUUUGCUUCCAUGUGAAGGCUAACUUUUCUUUCCUUGUGAAGAUUAGUUUCCAAUUCAUUCAUAUUAUUUAAAAUUUCUACAAUAAAUACAUACAUAUUAUUAAAAUAAAUACAAUAAUUUUAAUAGUUUAAUAUUUAAAUUUAUUAAAAUAUUUUAAUAUUAUUAGUCUACUGCAUAGAUUACAUUAUUUAUAUAAUAUUUGUACGGUAAAUAAUUUUUAAAGAUUAUCGGAAAGAAAAAAGAACAAAGAAAAUAAAUAAACAAAGUAUACCUCGAUUGACUUGUUAGGGUUUUGAUUGGUGGCAACGGCAGCAGCACCGAAAGUAGCCAUUAUUGCUUGAAGCAGUUCAGUUAAUUUGCUAUUAACUUGCUAAUUUUUUAUCGUUUCGUGAUAUUUUGUUAGUGAGUGACAGAGUGAAAGAUUAUUUGUUGAUUCGGUGAUGAUUUUGAAAGAAGAGGGAAACGAAAAGCAAAAGAGAAAAGCUAUUUAUAGAGAGGACAGAGGAGAAAUGUAGUGGGCGUAGGUUAAGACUCUGCGCAUACCCCGCGUAGCGUUGAAUCAACGCCUGUUAACUUAACUGCGCAAAAACUACGACCAGCCAGGCAAGGCUUGAGUUGCGUUGCUGAUAGGGAUGGCAGAAAAGUGAGCGCCCGGCCCAGCCAGGCUUCGGCUCCACUUUUAGGUUUCGGCUCGGAUUAGGACUUAAGGUAUUCGAAAUUGAGCCGGAUCGGGGUCGGGCUAGGGGUAUAACAAGAAAGUCCGACUCCGAUCCUUCAGCCCGACAAUUAAAU
This 1489-nucleotide long non-coding RNA is filed under the name Citrus sinensis (sweet orange). Its description in RNAcentral is "long non-coding RNA (CSIN_LNC000210)". Lineage: Eukaryota; Viridiplantae; Streptophyta; Magnoliopsida; Sapindales; Rutaceae. The record is from RNAcentral.